GCGCGAAAACUCCGCAAUGCGGGCAACCGUGACGGGGUUACCCCGAGUGCCCCGAAGAGGGGCUUUUCCCCGCUCUAAAAAGGCGGGGGAAUAAGCGGGGGGCAAGUCUGGUGUCAGCCGCCGCGGUAAUACCAGCCCCGCGAGUGGUCGGGACGUUUAUUGGGCCUAAAGCGGCCGUAGCCGGCCCCGUAAGUCCCGGUCUAAAGACCCGGGCUCAACCCGGGGAAUGGCCGGGGUCCUGCGGGGCUC
This 249-nucleotide ribosomal RNA is filed under the name uncultured archaeon. RNAcentral describes it as "partial 16S ribosomal RNA". It matches the Rfam family "Archaeal small subunit ribosomal RNA", at positions 339 to 594 of the family's 1478-position model. The record is from RNAcentral.